Molecule: non-coding RNA, 74 nt
Organism: Leopardus geoffroyi (Geoffroy's cat)
Lineage: Eukaryota; Metazoa; Chordata; Mammalia; Carnivora; Felidae
Source: the annotation of a RefSeq genome assembly
GCCUGGGUGGCUCAGUUGGUUGAGUAUCUGACUUUGGAUCUGACGGUUUGUGGGUUCGAGCCCCACGUCGGGCU